This 305-nucleotide ribosomal RNA is filed under the name uncultured bacterium. RNAcentral's name for it is "bacterial SSU rRNA". It matches the Rfam family "Bacterial small subunit ribosomal RNA", at positions 334 to 631 of the family's 1533-position model. The record is from RNAcentral.
UUGCCCUACGGGAGGCAGCAGUGGGGACUAUUGCGCAAUUUUCUUAAGCCUGACGCAGCGACGCCGCGUGAGGGAUGAAGGUUUUCGGAUCGUAAACCUCUGUCAGAAGGGAAGAAAGUGCGUGGUGCUAAUCAGCCGCGUAUUGACGGUACCUUCAAAGGAAGCACCGGCUAACUCCGUGCCAGCAGCCGCGGUAAUACGGAGGGUGCGAGCGUUAAUCGGAAUUACUGGGCGUAAAGCGCACGUAGGCUGUUGUGUAAGUCAGGGGUGAAAUCCCACGGCUCAACCGGGGAACUGCCCUUGAU